Molecule: long non-coding RNA, 2585 nt
Filed under: Zea mays
Lineage: Eukaryota; Viridiplantae; Streptophyta; Magnoliopsida; Poales; Poaceae
Description: long non-coding RNA (ZMAY_LNC003114)
Source: RNAcentral
AUGGCUUCGGCAGUCUGCACAAAUGGUUCCCUGCAAGCUCUGCAAACGGGUCCCUCUUCUCUCUCGGGCUCCCACGAGGCCACAAGUCCAUAACGCCUGCACGGAGCGGAGCCGGAGCCGGCGACGACGACGAACGGCGGCGCCUCGGUUUCUCCGCGGAGCAUUCGGCCGCAGCCGCUGCAACGGUUAGUCUGGUCUCCGUACCUCCCCCCUCACUCCGGUUGGCUACUCCAACUGGCACCCAUGCGUGUUCGUGCUCUUCGUAUACUGAAUUUCUUCGCCCAUUCCGCGGUGUGUCGUACUACCGUGCUAGCGGCUAGAGCCUGUCUCUCGUCUCCAUUUUCCAAUUGCGGAUUGGUUCCCCAUUGGCCAUUGGAUCAGUGAAGUUAGGCCAAACCGACCCCCCCCCCCCAGCAAUAACCUAAGCGGGCAGUGUGAGAAUUUGUUUUUCUUAAAAGAAUAGCUCACUGUGUACUCCUUGCUACCUGUUGUACGGGAUUUACACAGAGCACCGUUGGAGACAGCCUUAGUGCCUUACAUUGAGUUAACACUAGUAUACCAGUCAGUAAUACAUAAAUAGUUCUGCCCUUAGCACUAUUGCAAUUGGCUUCUGAAUUCCAUUCCUAUAUCCAAUUCUUCUUUGGUGUGACUUUCCCAAAUAACAGUGCUCAAGAUGAGCAUGAGCUGUGUCAUAUAUUUCCAGUAUCCACAAAAUAAUUUGGGGGAAAUGGAAAAGGACAAUUUACAAAAGAAUACCUAACAUGGCAAUAUGCCAGAAGCUGUACAAAAAUAAUUACAAGGUUGUCAGGAACAGUAGUUCGUGGGAAGCUACAUGUAUGCAGCUUACAAUGGACUACAAGUGAAUCAUGUUUAACUGCACUAUAUCCUAACUGAAUUUUGCAUCCUCAGGGUGGGCUCUAUAGUGUCAAGGCAGGAGGCUACUUCCAGUAUGGUUGGCCUCAUGCACGCGUCAUGGUCGACACACUUGCAGGCUAUUUCAAGAACCUUCAGCAUUUGCUCGUCAUGCCCCAAGCCUCGUAGAUGUGGAUCGAGGACCUCAAUCUGCUUCCCUUCUGAUUUCAUCUCCUGCACCCACUUCACAAGUUCUUUUGAUAAAAACAAGGCUGAGACAGGCCGCCUUCCUGUGAGCAGCUCAAGCAGAACGACUCCAAAACUGUAGAUAUCACCUCUCAACGUCGCAACCCAGCCUUGCCCAUACUCAGGUGGGAUGUAGCCCAGAGUGCCAACUAGCUCAGUUGUGACAUGAGUUUUGUUUGCAAGGACUAAUCUUGAGAGCCCAAAAUCGGCAACGUAAGCCUUGAAAUCUUUGUCAAGUAGGAUAUUACUGGACUUUAUGUCACGGUGGACAAUGUGAGGCUUGCAGACAUCAUGGAUAUAAGAAAGGCCUUGGCUUGCCCCUUGCGCAAUUUUCAGCCGCAUCGGCCAACUGAGAAAUGUGCUGGCAUCAUCAUCCAUGGUGUGAAGCCAAUCAUCAAGGCUGCCAUUCUCCAUGUAGGAAUAUACGAGGAGCCUUGAAUCUCCCUGUAUGUAGUAACCCCACAGUGGCACAAGAUUCUCAUGCUGGGCCAUGGAGAGUGCUUCAACCUCUGCCUUGAAUUCCCUUUCCAUGGUCAACAUUUCACCAUUAAGCUUCUUGAUGGCCAGCUUGGUCCCAUCAGGUAAUAUAGCCUUGUAGACCAGACCAUAGCCCCCACAACCUAUGAUGUUUCCCUGGUGGAAGUUAUUUGUGGCCUUCACAAUGUCAGCGAAUUUGAGCUUGUUUUCUCCCCCUUCUCCUCUUGGCACUAUCACUAAUGACUGUUCUGAAUCAGACACGUGUGAAGUUGCUUCUACAUCUUCGUUAUCACUGAUCUUGCUUUUCUUUAUCAACCUUUUACACUUGAAUGAGACAGCGAGAUAUACCAGAAGCAGAAGAAGAGCAACUCCAAAGAACGAACCAAAUGCAAUCCCAAAAAUGGCUUUCCUACUGUGUUGCUUUGUUGAGACUGUUGGUGCGACUGCUGAGCUACAACUGUGAUGGAGGAUAGGUCCGCACAGCUUUGGAUUACCUUCAAAGCUAUUAUUCGAGAAUGUACUGAAUUGGCCUCCAGUAGGAAUAGGCCCUUCCAGGUUAUUGUAAGAAAUAUUCAGUGCGGAGAGGAAGUGUAGGUUGUUCAAUGCUGAUGGGAUUGCACCUCUGAGAUGAUUGUUAGACAAGUCUAGUACUUGCAGAUUUGUUAAGUUGCAGAGUUCCAGUGGUAUUUUUCCCGAUAAGUUGUUCGAGCUGAAAUUGAGUACAGCGAGCGACUUCAACUGACCAAUUUCUUGGGGAAUCGCACCAGUUAAGUUAUUGUAACCAAGUUUCAGCAGUUUUGGAAGAGCACUGGUUAUCCGGUACUGGAGCGAUGGGUUUUUAUAAACAGGUAGCUCAAAUACCCUUGGAUCCAAAUGGGUUGCAGUCUUUUCUGUCGUUAGCAUUGGCAUCUCCAUUAAGGCUGUUGGUAUUUCCCCUGUAAGCUUGUUACUUGAUAUGUCUAGAUGGAAUAGUGACUCUAAGCUUUUGAUCCAGGCAGGUAUUGUCCCAC